CAAGCGCUUAGUACAGUGCUCUGCACGCGGUAAGCGUUCAAUAAAUACGAGUGAAUGAAUGAUUGGGCCUAGGGCCAAACGAGGCCCGGUCGUAGGGGGAACCGCCCCCUUUGGGCGGGCUCAUUCAUUCAUUCAGUCGUAUUUAUUGAGCGCUUACCCUGUGCAGAGCGCUGGGGCGCUUAGCACAGUGCUGGGCACGUAGUAGGUGCCUGAUGACGGUGAGGACGGACCCCGCCGUGGGGCCGGGAGAGAAAGAAACCGGACCACGCGAAAGCAUCUGGGAAGUGGGAGAAACCAGCGUUUGAGGUGGAUCUGGAACUCUAGGGCUGGCCCCUUCCCUGUGAAGGUCAAGGAAGUGAGGUGGAGACUCAGGAGGACUUCAGGGGAAAACAAAAGUCAAGGCUGCGGGCCAGCGGGUGCCUGACAUCACAUGCUGUUUCUGGCCUGCUGGGGCCCCGGGCAGGGAAGGGCUGUAAUAAACUAAAGCAACCUUAAAAGCUUGGA
Long non-coding RNA from Tachyglossus aculeatus (Australian echidna), 504 nucleotides. RefSeq lists it as uncharacterized. The transcript is spliced from 4 exons. The record is from RefSeq and is a predicted model, not a curated record. NCBI's taxonomy places the organism in Eukaryota, Metazoa, Chordata, Mammalia, Monotremata, Tachyglossidae.